This 446-nucleotide ribosomal RNA is filed under the name uncultured bacterium. RNAcentral describes it as "bacterial SSU rRNA". It matches the Rfam family "Bacterial small subunit ribosomal RNA", at positions 329 to 792 of the family's 1533-position model. The record is from RNAcentral.
GUCCAGACUCCUACGGGAGGCAGCAGUGGGGAAUAUUGCACAAUGGGGGAAACCCUGAUGCAGCGACGCCGCGUGAGUGAAGAAGUAUUUCGGUAUGUAAAGCUCUAUCAGCAGGGAAGAAAAUGACGGUACCUGACUAAGAAGCCCCGGCUAACUACAUGCCAGCAGCCGCGGUAAUACGUAGGGGGCAAGCGUUAUCCGGAUUUACUGGGUGUAAAGGGAGCGUAGACGGCAUGGCAAGUCAGAUGUGAAAGCCCGGGGCUCAACCCCGGGACUGCAUUUGAAACUGUCAGGCUGGAGUGCAGGAGAGGUAAGUGGAAUUCCUAGUGUAGCGGUGAAAUGCGUAGAUAUUAGGAGGAACACCAGUGGCGAAGGCGGCUUACUGGACUGUAACUGACGUUGAGGCUCGAAAGCGUGGGGAGCAAACAGGAUUAGAUACCCCUGUA